This is a long non-coding RNA of Canis lupus familiaris (dog), 1633 nucleotides long. RefSeq lists it as uncharacterized. The transcript has 3 exons. The record is from RefSeq and is a predicted model, not a curated record. NCBI's taxonomy places the organism in Eukaryota, Metazoa, Chordata, Mammalia, Carnivora, Canidae.
GAAUUGCCCCACCCGCGUACCAGUUUGACACCCGUAACUAGCUGCAGGAUCCAUCUGAGCCAGGGAGUUGCGGGACCGAAACCACCCAACGUCUCUCCCGAUUAAUAAUACCCAAGCCUAAAAUCCCAAGGACUUGUGGGAACCUGCACUGCUCCAGUCUUUUCAGUACUGAGGACAGGCCUUGCUCUUCUGGAUAUCCACGGGCUCUCUGCAUCACCGCAAUGACCACAGCACAGCAUGCGUCCUGCCCUGUGGAUUUUCUGUUGUAUAGUGGAUUUCUCCUUCUCUAACACAGAAAACUGGACUGUAAAACACACAUCCUUCCUGUAGAAUCUCACAAGUCCUUCUCUGUAGAGAUUUUCACUUUUUCUUACUGUUGAAAGUCAAGCAAAUCCCUAGCACCCGUGUCCUCCAGUGGUCCUGCUCUUCUCGGUGACUUCUGGAAAUAAUUAUCUUUGCACUCCAGAGAUGAAAGCUGAGUUAAAUAUGUGAGAGACCAAGCAGAUGUGACAGAGCAGAUCAUGCUGCACAUUGUCUUGUGUCACAGCGGUACAGCUGAUGAAGAGCUUGCCUGCAACGGCGUCAUUUGGAGAUACUAGCAGAGGUGGCUGUUUGGUGGAAGAAAAUUAACAUCCCUGUUACCACAUGAUCUCGUACUGAAACCUCGGAUACAUGUGUCCACAUGUUGUGGGACUAUUUUCUUUUCUUCAAAAAUUCACCUAAUUAAAGCACAGAUUCGAAUUAAAGCAAAAUAGGAAAAGUUCUCUGUGCUGGAAAUGGUCUGCUUUGCACCAUUUAAUCACUUGCUGACUGUCAUGAAAGCCUGGUAAACUGGAACCUGCAUUUUAAGAUCAUCUUGAUGCCCUUUUGGGAAAAUUUAUGUGUCCUUCUUUUGAGCUCAUGUAAAAUUUUGUCUUUACUGACCUUUAUUUAGUUUUUCCUUUAUAACGAUAAUGCAUAUCUUAUUGUCAUUACAUGUUUUCUGAUGACUUUAUAUUUUAUGUCUUCCUACAGAAUUUGUCAUUUUAGUAGGUGACCAACACAUAUUUGUAUUUGUUGCCUACAUAUGGUAGAGAUAUCAGUGCUAACAUCCUUUCAAGAACUAACAGAAAGACCAACCACGUCUCUGCUAUUACUGUUACAAAGUUAUAACAGUAUCAAGAAUCCAUAACAAAUACUAACUAGAUUAUUUUUGGAAUUUAAAAACAUUUUGGGAAGCAUUUAAUUAUAAGAUCAAUCUUUAUCUAUAUUUAACAAGUUUAAAAUGAGAAUUAAGCCAGACUUUCUAUGGAUGUUUCUUUAUUGGAUAAUAAGUUAUAUCUGCUCUGGAAUAUUUCUUAGGACUGAGAUAUUUAACAUAUCUUACAAGUAAACAAUUAUAUCUUUGGGGAAUGUUGUGAUUUUAUAAUUAUGGUAUUGACUGUUUUCUUUGGCCUGUGCUUUGUCAGCAGUUUGGAAUAUCUCUUUCUGGGAUCUUAGAUCCUCUCUGUCACCCCUUCUUUCAAAGAUGAAGAAGCAAACCUAUUGGUAGAUGUAGAAGAGAGAGAUGAAUUGAAAGGUGUAGAAAUGGUUAAUUUUUAUGAUCCAAAGAAUCAGGAACCAAAUAAUUUUUUUUCUUUCUAGUUACUUUCCU